Molecule: ribosomal RNA, 492 nt
Filed under: uncultured bacterium
Lineage: Bacteria
Description: partial 16S ribosomal RNA
Rfam family: Bacterial small subunit ribosomal RNA
Source: RNAcentral
AGUGAACGCUGGCGGUAGGCCUAACACAUGCAAGUCGAACGGCAGCACAGUAAGAGCUUGCUCUUACGGGUGGCGAGUGGCGGACGGGUGAUGAAUACAUCGGAAUCUACUUUUUCAUGGGGGAGAACGUAGGGAAACUUACGCUAAUACCGCAUACGACCUACGGGUGAAAGCAGGGGAUCUUCGGACCUUGCGCGAUUGAAUGAGCCGAUGUCGGAUUAGCUAGUUGGGGGGGUAAAGGCCCACCAAGGCGACGAUCCGUAGCUGGUCUGAGAGGAUGAUCAGCCACACUGGAACUGAGACACGGUCCAGACUCCUAUGGGAGGCAGCAGUGGGGAAUAUUGGACAAUGGGCGAAAGCCUGAUCCAGCCAUACCGCGUGGGUGAAGAAGGCCUUCGGGUUGUAAAGCCCUUUUGUUGGGAAAGAAAAGCAGCAGGUUAAUACCCCGCUGUUCUGACGGUACCCACAGAAUAAGCACCGGCUAACUUCGUG